UACGUAGGGGGCUAGCGUUGUCCGGAAUCAUUGGGCGUAAAGAGCGUGUAGGCGGUCCGGUAAGUCCGCUGUGAAAGUCGGGGGCUCAACCCUCGAAUGCCGGUGGAUACUGUCGGGCUAGAGUGCGGAAGAGGCGAGUGGAAUUCCUGGUGUAGCGGUGAAAUGCGCAGAUAUCAGGAGGAACACCUAUUGCGAAGGCAGCUCGCUGGGACGUAACUGACGCUGAGACGCGAAAGCGUGGGGAGCAA
Molecule: ribosomal RNA, 248 nt
Filed under: uncultured bacterium
Lineage: Bacteria
Description: partial 16S ribosomal RNA
Rfam family: Bacterial small subunit ribosomal RNA
Source: RNAcentral